RNAcentral lists this long non-coding RNA (216 nucleotides) under Lathyrus oleraceus (garden pea). RNAcentral describes it as "Pisum sativum (pea) long non-coding RNA (PSAT_LNC027964)". Lineage: Eukaryota; Viridiplantae; Streptophyta; Magnoliopsida; Fabales; Fabaceae. The record is from RNAcentral.
UACAAUGCUCACUUUUCUAUAAGGAAGAAGGUACACCAAGUUAUACAUUCAUAUCAUUGAUUAAAAUCAUUAAAAUGCUAUGGAAAAGUCAUGAAAAAAAAUUGUACUACACAAAUUAUGCACUAUGUAGUGAAUUUAGUACUUGUUUUUUCAACACUUUCCAAUAUUGACUCGUGCCCAAAAAAUUCAGAAUUUGAUCCAUGAGUUUACACCAUU